RNAcentral lists this non-coding RNA (347 nucleotides) under Zea mays. Lineage: Eukaryota; Viridiplantae; Streptophyta; Magnoliopsida; Poales; Poaceae. The record is from RNAcentral.
ACCACCAGAACGGGUGUAGAAGCCCAGCCAGUAGGAUAAGCCCUCCCAGAUCUGGCCGGGCGGCCGGCUGCUGCCUUCUUCCCCAAUUCGGGAAAGACGACUAUGAAGAUCAGUUUGUGUAGCGUGGUUUGGUUCUUCUCUCUAGCUGUAUCUCCUUGCUCCCCCGCGCGCGCUCUCUCUCUCUCCGUGUCCAGUUCUUGUUGCGUCUGCUUGGUACUGUACUUUGCAGCGGUGGUCGACGUUGGGAUGAUGGGGGCGCUGGCUGGAGCCAGCAGCUCGACGGUGUGGCUGACAGAAGAGAGUGAGCACGCAUCGGCCAGACUGCAUCUAUAUACGGCUGCUCCUGG